GGGGCUGACCGGUUUUGACGGCGUGAAGCUCAUGCGAGUAUAAGCAUGUAUGGAGUUGGUAGAACCUCCAUUUAAAAAUUCUUCUAAACAACAAGAGGCAAUACUCAGUAUGCCAUGGCUGCUUAAUCUAGUAUAGAUUAACCAUUCGCCACAUCUCUCUCCUGCUAACCUCUGCCGCGGGGGAAUCAGAGGUGUCGACACGUAGAGGCGUUUAAUGGCGGUUUUCUUACCAUUAAAUAGUAUCGGAGGAAAUAAGGAUUGAAUUUGGUAUGUCGGACGGCUUCUCAAUCUCGAAAAACAAGACCGAAUAAACAUGUAGAAGGCUCGACAUCGGCCAUGUUCGGACCAGGGUUCGAAUCCCUGCAGCUCCACGA
Molecule: transfer-messenger RNA, 374 nt
Filed under: Arcticibacterium luteifluviistationis
Lineage: Bacteria; Pseudomonadati; Bacteroidota; Cytophagia; Cytophagales; Leadbetterellaceae
Description: Standard tmRNA
Rfam family: transfer-messenger RNA
About the family: Bacterial tmRNA, also known as 10Sa RNA or SsrA, is named for its dual tRNA and mRNA-like properties.
Source: Rfam by way of RNAcentral